CGUAGGUGGCAAGCGUUGUCCGGAUUUACUGGGCGUAAAGCGCGCGCAGGCGGACUGAUCAGUCUGGGGUGAAAUCUCACGGCUCAACUGUGAGCGGUCCCUGGAUACUGUCAGUCUUGAGGGAUCUAGAGGAGAGCGGAAUUCCCGGUGUAGUGGUGGAAUGCGUAGAUAUCGGGAAGAACACCAGUGGCGAAAGCGGCUCUCUGGGGAUUACCUGACGCUGAGGCGCGAAAGCGUGGGGAGCGAACCGGAUUAGAUACCCGGGUAGUCCACGCCGUAAACGAUGAGUACUAGCUGUCGGGGGUAUCGACCCCUCCGGUAGCGCAGCUAACGCGAUAAGUACUCCGCCUGGGGACUACGACCGCAAGGUUA
This 372-nucleotide ribosomal RNA is filed under the name uncultured organism. Its description in RNAcentral is "bacterial SSU rRNA". It matches the Rfam family "Bacterial small subunit ribosomal RNA", at positions 526 to 896 of the family's 1533-position model. The record is from RNAcentral.